This 49-nucleotide small RNA is filed under the name Sinorhizobium meliloti 2011. RNAcentral describes it as "putative ncRNA". Lineage: Bacteria; Pseudomonadati; Pseudomonadota; Alphaproteobacteria; Hyphomicrobiales; Rhizobiaceae. The record is from RNAcentral.
CUACGGCAAAAAGAAAGGGCCACCCGGCAUCACCGGGCGGCCCUUUUUC